AAUUUUGUGUAAAUGUAUAGAUCAAACUUCAAAGUACCAGGUGACUUACUGAUAGUGUCGCAGAAGUGAAGGCGAACGAGAUGAUUAGUUUUCUUCCUCACAUUGAAACGCCAAGUUAUAUAAGAAUAAUUUGAUGCCACACUAGUAUCUAUGCUCACUUCUUUGCAAGUCCUGUACACAAGGUCUGGGGCCAUAUCUUGAACCACCGUCGCUCCAGGAGCAUGAUUAAGCUUACCUACUUCCAGGGUCUUCUGCUAGAAACUGUGCUUUUUAUUCUGGAAGGAUCAUCCCCCACCCAGUCCCUCCAGAAUGGAUCAUUUGAUAUAUUAGUAUCCUGUCCAACAUCGAUCCUAUAGAGUGUCUGGAAAGCAUGGAACAGAAAACCAUGGAAAGUACCAUUUCCAGUUCCUAUGGGUGGGACUGCAACGGCAUAUUCAUCCUUGAUGAAGUCCUGAGGAAGAAUAAGGACUUCCAAGGCAUUAAGAAAAGCAAAAGACGUCUCUGUAC
This 507-nucleotide unclassified non-coding RNA is filed under the name Hevea brasiliensis (rubber tree). The record is from RNAcentral. Lineage: Eukaryota; Viridiplantae; Streptophyta; Magnoliopsida; Malpighiales; Euphorbiaceae.